This 75-nucleotide transfer RNA is filed under the name Paenibacillus sp. 1182. Its description in RNAcentral is "tRNA-Lys". It matches the Rfam family "tRNA". From Rfam's summary of the family: Transfer RNA (tRNA) molecules are approximately 80 nucleotides in length. Their secondary structure includes four short double-helical elements and three loops (D, anti-codon, and T loops). Lineage: Bacteria; Bacillati; Bacillota; Bacilli; Caryophanales; Paenibacillaceae. The record is from RNAcentral.
GUCCUCGUAGCUCAACGGUAGAGCAAGGAGCUUUUAACUCCGGGGUUACAGGUUCAAAUCCUGUCGGGGACACCA